GAUGAACGCUGGCGGCGUGCCUAAUACAUGCAAGUCGAGCGAACGGACGAGAAGCUUGCUUCUCUGAUGUUAGCGGCGGACGGGUGAGUAACACGUGGAUAACCUACCUAUAAGACUGGGAUAACUUCGGGAAACCGGAGCUAAUACCGGAUAAUAUUUUGAACCGCAUGGUUCAAAAGUGAAAGACGGUCUUGCUGUCACUUAUAGAUGGAUCCGCGCUGCAUUAGCUAGUUGGUAAGGUAACGGCUUACCAAGGCAACGAUGCAUAGCCGACCUGAGAGGAUGAUCGGCCACACUGGAACUGAGACACGGUCCAGCCUCCUACGGGAGGCAGCAGUAGGGAAUCUUCCGCAAUGGGCGAAAGCCUGACGGAGCAACGCCGCGUGAGUGAUGAAGGUCUUCGGAUCGUAAAACUCUGUUAUUAGGGAAGAACAUAUGUGUAAGUAACUGUGCACAUCUUGACGGUACCUAAUCAGAAAGCCACGGCUAACUACGUG
This 497-nucleotide ribosomal RNA is filed under the name uncultured bacterium. RNAcentral's name for it is "partial 16S ribosomal RNA". It matches the Rfam family "Bacterial small subunit ribosomal RNA", at positions 28 to 507 of the family's 1533-position model. The record is from RNAcentral.